This is a small nuclear RNA of Phymastichus coffea, 184 nucleotides long. RefSeq annotates it as U1 spliceosomal RNA. Lineage: Eukaryota; Metazoa; Arthropoda; Insecta; Hymenoptera; Eulophidae. The transcript has a single exon. The record is from RefSeq and is a predicted model, not a curated record.
UAACUUACUUGGCGUGGAGGAUACCGCGAUCAGGAAGGCGGCUCCUCCUGGGGGAGACUCAAGCCAUUGCACCUCUUUUCCUCGGGAAAGACGCGGCUUGCUGGUUGAUCCUUGCGAAUACUCCUAGUGGGUAUCUCGAGCGCAUAAUUUUUGGUAGUCGGGAUUCGCGUGCGCGCGGUCCCGG